RNAcentral lists this small nucleolar RNA (105 nucleotides) under Colletotrichum graminicola M1.001. RNAcentral describes it as "small nucleolar RNA SNORD14". The record is from RNAcentral. Lineage: Eukaryota; Fungi; Ascomycota; Sordariomycetes; Glomerellales; Glomerellaceae.
GUUCUACGAUGAAAUUUCCCUCGUAUUCGCAGUUUCCACGCAAGCCGUCGCAAGAGCCUUUUGACGUGCGAUGAGCGUAUAAUACUUCCUUGGAUGUCUGAGAAC